CACGUAGGCACCAAGCGUUGUCCGGAUUCAUUGGGCGUAAAGGGUGCGUAGGCGGCGCGGUAAGUCGGGUGUGAAAUCUCGGAGCUUAACUCCGAAACUGCAUUCGAUACUGCCGUGCUUGAGGACUGGAGAGGAGACUGGAAUUUACGGUGUAGCGGUGAAAUGCGUAGAGAUCAUGAGGAAGACCAGUGGCGAAGGCGGGUCUCUGGACAGUUCCUGACACUGAGACACGAAGGCCAGGGGAGCAAACGGG
RNAcentral lists this ribosomal RNA (253 nucleotides) under uncultured bacterium. RNAcentral's name for it is "partial 16S ribosomal RNA". It matches the Rfam family "Bacterial small subunit ribosomal RNA", at positions 524 to 776 of the family's 1533-position model. The record is from RNAcentral.